GGGUGGGCAGGCGCAUGCGCGCGCGCAGCUGAAACGCCGGCUGAUGAAACUGACAAAGGCGAGAGCGCGCAGCAGCCCACAGCAGCCGAGUUCGCGCCGCCGGUAGGUGCUGCCAUGCCAGGGGGCGGGAUCGUGGAGCGCCUCGCAGAACCGCACGAAAGCAAAAACAAAGCCAUCUCUCCGGAGCAGAAAUAGAACAGACGUGGCCGGGGAAAGCCAAAUAUUUGUGAGAUGAUGUGAACAAAGGGGGAAAAGUCAAUCCAGGGAAGUUUGAGUUUCUGGUUGGAGGCUUCAGCGGCUCUGAUCGCUGGAUACUUUAAGAGAACAUCCUUUGCCCCCGCUCUCCCUCUCUCCCCGAAGAAAAAUAAAUCCUUGGCAAAAUGAGACUUGACGGCAUGAAAAGAAGGUCUCCAGACUGUCCCAGCUGGCGCGGGCGGGGCCGGGGCCGAGGUGCCGCUUGGUGACACUGCAGCCGCGGCUCAGCACUGUCACCCAGAAAGGCCCGCCGACGUCUGUAUGCAGGGAACGUGGCUCUUAGCAGAGCCUGGACAGGCGCAGGGCCAAGGAAGUCUUUGUUUUUGUUUCUUUCUCUAGCCCUUCCUGCCAAUACAUCAGGGAUAUAACUCCUUGGUGUUUCUGCCUUACAAUCGCUCCUUAUACCCCACCCAGAUCCUCAGCACUGCAGCUCCCACUGCCACUGCCCGCUGUGAGUCACCUCCCCCUCUCCCUUUUUUAAACCAAACGGCAAGGCCAUAUUGCAGUUAUCCAUAAAUGGAAAAGCAAGAAGCCACCAAUACCUGUUUGAGAAGAUGGCAUUUUAAUUAGCACACUCCGGCUGCCAUAAACCCGGGCUCCUGCCCCACCUCUCCCCCCGCCCCCUCCUCCCCCCUCCCCCGCCGUGCCCUCUCUCAACCUCCCCGCUCACCCCCAUCUAUGUAAAAAAGCCAUAAAGCCUCUCUCCAAUCGCUUUCUCGGAGGGAGUUUUUGCAACCCCCACAACACAGGUUGAUUGGAAAGGUCUCUCUCCCGGAUAACAACAAUUCAAUGUGCCUUGACAUUUUAAUAGCCUGCCGUCCUGGUGAACACAAUCGAGCAAGGCAGUGAAGCAAACAUCAUUAGGUGGCUGGACUCAGACACAUCACGCUCCAGUUUGGGUUCCAAGGUGCUUCUCUCUGGAUUUUCACCUGCCUUGCCAAAAAUGAUUGAUUACGCUGGGCCAACUGGGUGUCCGGCAAUACCCAACAAAUGACUUUGGCCCCUAACAGCAGGUCUUGGCCAGACAGAAAUCAAUAUUUCACCAUUAAAAUCUAUCAAAGAAGAGUUAAGGCACCAUCUGUCCCUGCCGCCUCUCUAUGGUGUGUGAACAUUAAAUCCGACACUUGUACUACAUGGGUAAUCAAUAUAUAGUGGUUCACAGAUCAUUUGUGGUUCCCUUUUAGCAGUGAUGGAUGUCUGGAAUCGUUGUGAUUCAUUUUGUCAGACCAUUAAACAAGAUUCUGUCCAGUUCCUUCCUGAU
This 1516-nucleotide long non-coding RNA is filed under the name Homo sapiens (human). Its description in RNAcentral is "non-protein coding lnc-CCDC93-2:4". The record is from RNAcentral. Lineage: Eukaryota; Metazoa; Chordata; Mammalia; Primates; Hominidae.